RNAcentral lists this ribosomal RNA (253 nucleotides) under uncultured bacterium. RNAcentral's name for it is "partial 16S ribosomal RNA". It matches the Rfam family "Bacterial small subunit ribosomal RNA", at positions 524 to 776 of the family's 1533-position model. The record is from RNAcentral.
UACGUAGGGUGCAAGCGUUAAUCGGAAUUACUGGGCGUAAAGCGUGCGCAGGCGGUGAUGUAAGACAGAUGUGAAAUCCCCGGGCUUAACCUGGGAACUGCGUUUGAAACUGAAAGGCUAGAGUGUGGCAGAGGGGGGUGGAAUUCCACGUGUAGCAGUGAAAUGCGUAGAGAUGUGGAGGAACACCGAUGGCGAAGGCAGCCCCCUGGGCUAACACUGACGCUCAUGCACGAAAGCGUGGGGAGCAAACAGG